Molecule: ribosomal RNA, 245 nt
Filed under: uncultured bacterium
Lineage: Bacteria
Description: partial 16S ribosomal RNA
Rfam family: Bacterial small subunit ribosomal RNA
Source: RNAcentral
UACGGGGGGCAAGCGUUGUUCGGAAUUACUGGGCGUAAAGGGCUCGUAGGCGGCCAACUAAGUCAGACGUGAAUCCUCGGCUUAACCGGGAACUGCGUCUGAUACUGGAUGGCUUGAGUUUGGAGAGGAUGCGGAAUUCCAGGUGUAGCGGUGGAAUGCGCAGAUAUCAGGAGGAACACCGGUGGCGAAGCGGUUCUCUGGGAAUUAGCCUGACGCUGAGGAGCGAAAGCAUGGGAGCGAACAGG